RNAcentral lists this ribosomal RNA (505 nucleotides) under uncultured bacterium. RNAcentral's name for it is "partial 16S ribosomal RNA". It matches the Rfam family "Bacterial small subunit ribosomal RNA", at positions 28 to 507 of the family's 1533-position model. The record is from RNAcentral.
GACGAACGCUGGCGGCGUGCCUAAUACAUGCAAGUAGAACGCACAGUUUAUACCGUAGCUUGCUACACCAUAGACUGUGGGUUGCGAACGGGUGAGUAACGCGUAGGUAACCUGCCUGGUAGCGGGGGAUAACUAUUGGAAACGAUAGCUAAUACCGCAUAAUAUUAAUUAUUGCAUGAUAAUUAAUUGAAAGGUGCAAUUGCACCACUACCAGAUGGACCUGCGUUGUAUUAGCUAGUAGGUGAGGUAACGGCUCACCUAGGCGACGAUACAUAGCCGACCUGAGAGGGUGAUCGGCCACACUGGGACUGAGACACGGCCCAGACUCCUACGGGAGGCAGCAGUAGGGAAUCUUCGGCAAUAGACGAAAGUCUGACCGAGCAACGCCGCGUGAGUGAAGAAGGUUUUCGGAUCGGAAAGCUCUGUUGUAAGAGAAGAACGGGUGUGAGAGUGGAAAGUUCACACUGUGACGGUAUCUUACCAGAAAGGGACGGCUAACUACGUG